This 260-nucleotide ribosomal RNA is filed under the name uncultured bacterium. RNAcentral describes it as "partial 16S ribosomal RNA". It matches the Rfam family "Bacterial small subunit ribosomal RNA", at positions 1066 to 1332 of the family's 1533-position model. The record is from RNAcentral.
CGUGAGAUGUUGGGUUAAGUCCCGCAACGAGCGCAACCCCUAUUGUUAGUUGCUACGCAAGAGCACUCUAGCGAGACUGCCGUUGACAAAACGGAGGAAGGUGGGGACGACGUCAAAUCAUCAUGCCCCUUAUGUCCUGGGCUACACACGUAAUACAAUGGCAUUUAACAGAGGGAAGCAAAACCGCGAGGUGGAGCAAAUCCCUAAAAGGUGUCUCAGUUCGGAUUGCAGGCUGCAACUCGCCUGCAUAAGUACGGAAU